ACGCACGCUGGCGGCGUGCUUAACCCAUGCCAGUCGAACGGAAAGGCCCUGCUUUUGUGGGGUGCUCGAGUGGCGAACGGGUGAGUAACACGUGAGUAACCUGCCCUUGACUUUGGGAUAACUUCAGGAAACUGGGGCUAAUACCGGAUAGGAGCUCCUGCUGCAUGGUGGGGGUUGGAAAGUUUCGGCGGUUGGGGAUGGACUCGCGGCUUAUCAGCUUGUUGGUGGGGUAGUGGCUCACCAAGGCUUUGACGGGUAGCCGGCCUGAGAGGGUGACCGGCCACAUUGGGACUGAGAUACGGCCCAGACUCCUACGGGAGGCAGUAGUGGGGAAUAUUGCACAAUGGGCGGAAGCCUGAUGCAGCAACGCCGCGUGCGGGAUGACGGCCUUCGGGUUGUAAACCGCUUUCGCCUGUGACGAAGCGUGAGUGACGGUAAUGGGUAAAGAAGCACCGGCUAACUACGUG
This 467-nucleotide ribosomal RNA is filed under the name uncultured bacterium. RNAcentral describes it as "partial 16S ribosomal RNA". It matches the Rfam family "Bacterial small subunit ribosomal RNA", at positions 29 to 507 of the family's 1533-position model. The record is from RNAcentral.